This 1120-nucleotide long non-coding RNA is filed under the name Pan troglodytes (chimpanzee). RNAcentral's name for it is "lincRNA". Lineage: Eukaryota; Metazoa; Chordata; Mammalia; Primates; Hominidae. The record is from RNAcentral.
GUAAACCUCAGGUUCUCCUCCUGCCUUUUGCUAAGUAUAUGUCUUGAUGACAAGCCUUCUGCUGAUGAGCUGUGUUUCUGGACCGAUCAUGGUAGAAGUCAAUUAACGUGUCCCUCACUUGGGGUUUCUCAAGGGAACUGAAAAUGAAAGAACCAAAAUAGAUAUCAACAGAUAAUUAAAAGAACGUUUGGAAGUUUUUUACCUCAUGCAGACCUCAAACUCUGAACCACUACUGCCUAAAGGAAAUAAAUACUGUGUUAUGACUUUGAAAAAGUGAAGUGGCCAUGUUAGGAGGCCCAGAUGGUAAGGAGCUGAGGGAGGCCUCCAGGAAAUGGCCAGCAAGAAGCCGGCUCCCUCAGCCUUGUAGCUACAAGAAAAUGAAUUCUGCCAGCAAUCUGAGUGAACUUGGAAGCUGAUUCUUCCUCUGUCAAGCCUCCAGAUGAGAAUCUCAGUCACAGCCAACACCUUGACUGCAGUCCUUAGCAGAGGACUCUGCCAAGCUGUGCCAGGACUCCUGACCUGCAGAAAUUGUGAGUACCAACUCACUGAGCUUUUAUGAGGAUGAACUGAAUUAAUAUCUGCAAAGUGCUUAGAAUACAACCUGGCACACAGCAAAUACCAUGCCUUUGUUUGGGUCACAGAGUAUCUUGAAUGCAGAGCUCACACAGGUUGUGAUAGGCUUUACUUCUAUCACUAACUGGAAACAAAGAAAAUCUACACUGAAGGAAACCUUUUCAAGUCGAACUUCUGUCAAGCAAUUGGAGGAGCAUGUGGUUUUGUGGUCAUGUGGAUUCGCUAUAUGGAAUAUGAUUGAAGGAUGAUUAUAAUUACAGAAAUUAUAGAGAUAUGACAGAGCAAGAUAUGGUCCCUGACUCAUGGAUCUUACAUUAAUAUUGGAAAGAAGCCUAUUAAACUCUCCAUCCGAUCAGCUUCAAUUUCAGCUAUUAGCUUUACUUUCUACUGUCUUUUUCAAGUCAAGAUCAAAUGGAGAGCAAAGGGAGUGCACCUUUCCUCUGCAGUUCCAUCACUGUUCAACAUAAUCAUCUCUACCUACCUUUCAGAACAAUUCUGAAUAUUAAUAAGACAAUGUCUAUGAGAUGAACUCAUCUGGGAAAGCAUA